RNAcentral lists this long non-coding RNA (2100 nucleotides) under Nicotiana benthamiana. RNAcentral's name for it is "long non-coding RNA (NBEN_LNC037883)". Lineage: Eukaryota; Viridiplantae; Streptophyta; Magnoliopsida; Solanales; Solanaceae. The record is from RNAcentral.
AAGCAUGCUGAAUAUCAGCCACUAUGUUUAACUACUUCCUAAACUCUAGGACUCCAUGAUUGACUAACUAGAAAUAUAAAAAUAGCUAACAUAAUCCACUACUGCAGAAUCAUGGUAGAUCAUGUAGUUAGUGUUUGAAACAGUCUUCUAACAGCCAGGCUAGUGGCUACGGGAUACUCUAAAAAAGAAGGGAUGGCUAUAAUGAGACUUUUCCCCUUGUAGUCAAGAUGGUAAUUAUCAAGACAAUGUUAUCUGUUGCUGCUGUUACGAUAUGACACAUCCAUCAAAUGUAUGUGUAUAAUGUAUUUUUGCAAGGUGAUCUAUUUGAUGAGAUUUAUAUGGAGUUUCCACCGAGAUUUAAGAGCCAAAGGGAGUCACAUACAGUCUGUAGGCUCAUCAAAUUCUUAUAUAGGUUUAGACAAGAUCCAAGAAAGUGGAAUAAGAAGCUUACUGAAGCAUUAUGUACAUUUGGAUGUCAAUAUGAUCACUCUUUAUUUGUCAAGAAACUAACAGAAGGUACUAUUAUUGUGCUUAUGUAUGUAGAUGAUAUUCUAGUAAAUAGUACUAGCUUACAAUCGAUAGAAGAAACAAAGACCGCUUUGGAACAAACCUUCAAGAUGAAGGACUUAGGAGAACUAAAGUAUUUUCGGGGGAUAGAAUUUUCCAAGUCUGACAAAGAAAUUCUAAUGCAUCAAAGAAAAUAUGCAUUAGAACGCAUCUCAGAACUUGGAGUUGAAGCAGCUAAUCCAGCUAUAACACCUUUGAAGAUGAACGCAAUAAUAAUUAUCUGAAGACUUAAGAAAGUGCAAAAAAUAAUUUGUUUCCUGACUCAGGAGCUUACAACAACAACAACAACAACAACCCAGUAUAACCCCACUUAGUGGGGUCUGGGGAAGAUAGGUGUACGCAGACCUUACCCCUACCCUGGGGUAGAGAGGCUGUAUCCAAAUAGACCUCCGGCAUUCUUCCCUCCAAGAACUUUCCACCUUGCUCUUGGGAAGACUCGAACUCACAACCUCUCGGUUGGAAGUGAAGUUGCUUACCAUCAGAGCAACCCCUCUUGUCUGUUUCAUUGAGUUAGUAAACAGAAAAUAUUCUUUGUUUCUCUUCUUCUCUCAAUUAUGUUGUGUUAUCUUGGGUUCUUCAUCUCAACUCUGGUAAUUUAGAAAUUCUCGCAUGUAGCUCUUCAGCACCUUCAUCCAAAACCCAAUAAAUUGGAAUUCUAUCAAUUCUCAUUGUUGUCAAUCAUGGAAUAAUAGCAUAAUUCUCAUAGUUGAUCUAAUUCACUCCAACUUCACAAACUCACUAUAAAAUUGCUGAAAAGCACUAAUUAUUUAACUGGACAAGCUCAGGUCACUACAACAAAUUUUAUAAAUAUCUCCGUAAGUCACUUAAAUGACACAAAUUUGUUUACCGACAAUAUUUUACUUUUAUAUUUAAUAUCGGAAAUUUUAAUGUCAUUAAUAUUGCGAUAUUUAAAUGAAUGUCGGCAACUAACUAGCGACGACAUUUAUUUACUACAUUUUCAAAUGUCAAUAAUUUGAGCUCUUAACUUAUUUUGUUUGUGACAUGUAUAUAAAUGUCACCAAAUUAUUCAUAAUUUUCACAUACGAUUUGAACAUUAAUAUUACUAUCAAUAUUAAGUGUUCCAUGCUUUCUCUAAGUCAAGAUCCUUCAGAGUAGUAAUAGAUCUCACAACCUUCAAAAAACUGAUGUAUCCCAGAUCUGAAAUCAAAAAAGAAAAUUAUUACUAAACAGAUUAAGGAAAAACAACAUUAAUGUCAAUUUACCUGAUAAGAAUUCACAGUCACCAUGCUUAUAAACUGUUUCGCAGCAAAUUCACUGAUAGAGAGAAGAUUCAAAUAAACAACGAAAAAGAUACAAAAAGUUCAAGGCCUUUAGUUAUCACAAUAGCACAAGUCCCAUUUCACUUGAAAAGAAAAAAAUAAACUUACAGAGAACGAGUUUGAUUAGAUGAAUCUGAUCGGAAAUUGCGAGACUGACAGCGGCUAGUUGUGAUGACGCAAAGGGUGUCUUUCAAUUAUUUCGAGGCUGUAAAAAUCUCGUUUUUAUUCUCCUCGACUUACAUAUAUAGUCCAG